GCGGCUUUACAAUGGAGAUUGGCAAUCAGAUGCCACUGGAUCAGCUAUGGUGGUGUUCGGUGUAUCCUCUGUCUUGAGUCAAGGUGGGCAGCCAGAAACAGUAAUGGAAGCUGUGUCUUACUGCUUGGAAAAAACUUGCUCUCCAGGCUACAGGCAUAUGGGCGGAUUGCAAUUUGGAUUGGGUCUGAUCACUGAUGUAAUAAGCCUACUAUCACUGGGGGGUCCUGCUAUAAUCUGUGCACUCUGUGAUCUGCAGAGGCUAAUUCGGGCUGGGGAGGGGGAGCUGAAAGCUGAGAAAUCAAGAACUUUAAGAAGGUCAGAAACCAGAAACAAGCUGAAGCUUGCUGAGAGGAAGGUUUAUUUUAUUAUGUGUUGGGUGCAUGAGCAGCCAGGGGAAGCUUGGUCUUCCUUGGCUGCCAUUGUAGAGGCAGAGAGAAUCAAAGUCAUGGAGUAUAAUAAGGAUAGAACUUCUGCAGGAGUGAAGAAUAACGCAGGGAAAAAAGGGAAAGUUUCAAUCGAAGAGAUGAGUUAAGCUAACCAUUGUUGUAUGAUCAGCUCAGCUUAAUCCUGUGUAAAUUUAUUUAUUUAUAGACCUGGUUAGUGCCAUUUUCUGUAAACUAGAUGGA
RNAcentral lists this unclassified non-coding RNA (626 nucleotides) under Hevea brasiliensis (rubber tree). The record is from RNAcentral. Lineage: Eukaryota; Viridiplantae; Streptophyta; Magnoliopsida; Malpighiales; Euphorbiaceae.